UUCUAACCGUAAACGAUGACAACCAGCGAUUAAUCGGCGUUAAUAUAUGACCCGAUUAGCAGCUUCCGGGAAACCAAAGUUUUUCGUUUCCGGGGGAAGUAUGGUUGCAAAGCUGAAACUUAAAGGAAUUGACGGAAGGGCACCACCAGGAGUGGAGCCUGCGGCUUAAUUUGACUCAACACGGGAAAACUCACCCGGCCCGGACACUGUAAGGAUUGACAGACUGAGAGCUCUUUCUUAAUUCGGUGGGUGGUGGUGCAUGGCCGUUCUUAGUUGGUGGAGCGAUUUGUCUGGUUAAUUCCGAUAACGAACGAGACUCUGGCCUAUUAAAUAGACGAUAUAUUUAAAAGUAUAUCGCGCUUCUUAGAGGGACAAGCGGCGUCUAGCCGCAUGAAAUAGAGCAAUAACAGGUCUGUGAUGCCCUUAGAUGUCCGGGGCUGCACGCGCGCUACACUGAAAGAAUCAGAGUGCGUUUUCACCUAGUUCGGAAGAACCGGGUAACCCAAGUAAAUUCUUUCGUGCUUGGGAUAGGGAAUUGCAAUUAUUUCCCUUAAACGAGGAAUUCCCAGUAAAUGCGGGUCAUAAGCUCGCGUUG
This 595-nucleotide ribosomal RNA is filed under the name unidentified nematode. Its description in RNAcentral is "SSU rRNA". It matches the Rfam family "Eukaryotic small subunit ribosomal RNA", at positions 1024 to 1643 of the family's 1831-position model. Lineage: Eukaryota; Metazoa; Nematoda. The record is from RNAcentral.